RNAcentral lists this ribosomal RNA (253 nucleotides) under uncultured bacterium. RNAcentral describes it as "partial 16S ribosomal RNA". It matches the Rfam family "Bacterial small subunit ribosomal RNA", at positions 524 to 776 of the family's 1533-position model. The record is from RNAcentral.
UACGAAGGGGGCUAGCGUUGCUCGGAAUCACUGGGCGUAAAGGGUGCGUAGGCGGGUCUUCAAGUCAGUGGUGAAAGCCCGGAGCUCAACUCCGGAAAUGCCAUUGAAACUGUAAAACUUGAGGACGAGAGAGGUGAGUGGAAUUCCCAGUGUAGAGGUGAAAUUCGUAGAUAUUGGGAAGAACACCGGUGGCGAAGGCGGCUCACUGGCUCGUUUCUGACGCUCAGGCGCGAUAGCGUGGGGAUCAAACAGG